AGAACAGAUAGAGGUGCAGUUGAAAAGAGUAACACGGUCUGACCCCGAAAGGUCAAAGCAGCCCAUGCCUACAGACCGAUGUGAAAGGUAAAACUGCCGAAGCCUGCGGCGCGGGAACCCGCUUGCUGACUGAUGGUUCAACAGAUCAUCGGUUGUCAUCAUGACUUUAUGAUGGAGUGCUAUCGGCGGA
This 190-nucleotide non-coding RNA is filed under the name Hominimerdicola alba. Its description in RNAcentral is "Ruminococcus albus Lysine sequence". It matches the Rfam family "Lysine riboswitch aptamer". From Rfam's summary of the family: Riboswitches are metabolite binding domains within certain messenger RNAs that serve as precision sensors for their corresponding targets. Allosteric rearrangement of mRNA structure is mediated by ligand binding, and this results in modulation of gene expression. The record is from RNAcentral. Lineage: Bacteria; Bacillati; Bacillota; Clostridia; Eubacteriales; Oscillospiraceae. RNAcentral also lists the same sequence under 1 other name.